GUUUUACUUUGGGGACACAGAGUAAAAUCACAGAUGGAGGAGAAAUAUUAUCCCUUUGAAGGAUUCAGCAAACACUUCCUGUGUGUGCCGAAUGUGAGUCCCCACUGCAAGAAUCUGCCAGGGGCUCUGGCAAUAGGUCCUGUGUUCACAAAGCAGAUGCCCCAGAAAAACGUCAGAAAGAUGUACACACAGGUGCACCACGAUUGCGCCCUGUCAUUUAAAAUCGAGGAUGGUGAGUUGACCAUAAACUCAAGGUGAAUCAAAGAGGGGACAUGUCUUAAAGGCUGUGGGAUCUGAAAUGUAACACAAGUGAACUCAUUUACAAGAUAGACAUAGAAAACAAACUUAGGGUUACAAAAGAGAUAGCCGGGUUGGGGGGCACGUGAGGAGAGGGAAGUAAUUUAGGAUUUGGGGAUUAACACGUACACACUACUGUAUAUAAAAGAGAUAACUAACAAGGACCUACUGUGUCGUACAGGGACCCAUACUCAAUACUCUCUAAUAAGCUGUAUGGGAAAAGAAUCUGAACGAGAAUGUAUAUAGAGAUACGUAUAACUGAUUCACUUUGCUAUACAUCUGAAACUAACAAAACAUUGUAAAUCAACUAAUACCCAAAUAAAAUUAAAUUAUCCCAUUAAACGUAUACCUCUGGUCAGAUUAUACCUAUUUCAAAAAUAUGAAAAGUUAAUAUGCAUCAGGAAUAGACAUUACCUAUUUUUAGGUAGAAUUCAGCACUUGUAAGUGGAAAUUAGAAGAAAGAUUUCAGCCCAAUAAAAGGAAGAACUUUUCAAUUAAAGUAGAAUUUGCUCUCAUAAAUUGGUAAAUUCCUCCAUGUCUCUCUCUAUAUAUAUAAGUUUAUUUUAUUUAAUAUUUUGGCCCUGUACGUGGAAGUUCCCAGGUCAGGAAUUGAACCUGUACCACUGCAGUGGCCAGAGCCACCACUGCAGUGACAAUGCCGGAUCCUUAACCCAUUGUGCCACAAGAGAACUCCUCUUUACAGCAAAAGAGGUGCUAAGGAUCUGAAACUGCAAGCAAGAAAAAAAUUGUAUAUUCUCACUAAGUUUGGUGAACACAAUCUAAAACUUUCAAUUCAGGUGAAGUUGCUGGAACUUACAGAAAUGGAGAAAAUUCAAUUCAGGCUCAUGGGAGAGUAGAAAUCUUGCAGGAAAUUGAAAAUACUUAUUACACUAGUUCCUCGAUUUGAAAUGUUUGUAAUCCAAUAGAAAGUACUGAAUAUACACAUGAUCAUAUUUGCUGGCUGGAUUAUUUUAAAAAGUACAUUAUUCUGUCAUUCUUUGGAAAUCUAAAAAUACCUGCCCCUUGAAUGAAUAAAAUAUUUUACUGAGACAUAAUAGUGAGGGAACCUAUAGGCUUGACUUUGGUUUAAAAAGCAAAACAAACAAAAAAUUUUGCUUUUGUCGGUUACAAAAUAUGGAAAAUUGUAAGCAGUGCUGUUGGUUGCACGAAUCAUAAGACUAAGUGUUUCGGUUUUUCCCCUUCUCUGCACACUGCUUAGACUUGUUGCUUUGCUUUGCUAAAUAUAGCUGGCUUCCUGCUAUUUUCACAGCCAACUGGAGAAUUUCAUUAGGAAGGUGGAAAGCUAACACUGUCAUUCCGAUGAAUAAAGUGGUCAGCUGAUAACUCUCCUUGCUUUAGUGGAAAAAUUUACAAUGACUACAGGGGCUGAAAGUCAGAUGGAGUUUCAUUAAAAUAGGAAAUUAGCGCAAUAAGCAAAAGGCCUUCUUGUCCCUUUCUUCCUUGGCAGGCAGGUGUUUAAAGCUCCUGUUAGUUGAAGGUACAAAAGGGCAUAGUCUGUCUUCUUGCUCAACCCUGGUCUCAAGGAUGAUCUCAUGCCUGCCGUGGUAUGAUUAGUGAGCACUCCUCCCUGAUUCCAUGCAGGUCAGUCUUUCCUCCUCGGAUCAACCCUGUACAUUUUCAGAGACUUCCUGUUUCCUUAGAAGAAAGACCACACCCCCAAACCAGGCUUCAAGGUCCAGAUACAGCUUUCUAACCACACCUGCAUUUCUCCCCUACACGAACUCUUCACGCCAUCCAGGGUCGUCUGCUCGCCUUUGCCAGGCACACUGUUCCAUCUUUGUCAGCUUCGUCUAGAAUGCCAGUCUCUCCUGUCUGGUCCAUGCCCAUGUACCAAAGGCAAGGUCCAAUCUCCCUUCUCGUCUCGGAUCCUCCUGCAGCUCAAACUCACUGGGGCCUCUAUCCUACUUCAUAUCAUGCCUUAGCCCUCUGACCUCCUUCCGACUCACAUGAAUCAAUACGAAUCCCAUCAAUUAAGCUCCCUAAUUAGUUCCCAUUGUCGCCGGAUAAUUACGCUCAGGAUUAAAAAUGAGACUAUCCCUCAGGAUUUAACAGUUGCCACCCAUCGAGGAUUCUGCAUGUGAAUUAAAUGUCCUCACAGAAAUACGGCACUGACAGCAAAUUCCUUUACCCCGUCUUAUCUAAAGCUGUAGAUUAUUUUAUUAGAUUUUAUUUUUAUUAAAAGAUAAUAUUUUCAUUUUUUAAAAAUUGGAAGAUUGUAUACAGUGCAUAGUAAUAAAAUGCCAUUUCCUGCCACGCCACACACACAGAGUUCAGACUGUAAACUCUCAAUAUUCGUACAUAGAGAUCUACUUAGUACUCUUUGUAAAAAUGUCGUAGCAGUUCAUCUACUAUGAAUAUAAAAUUAAUCCGUAGUCUGCUAAUGGAAAUUGAGAGUUGGCCCUCAAUUUUCAAAUUAUAAGUAGUAUUUUAAUGAACAAUUUGUUUAUAUAUCUUCGGAAAUUUAUGGACAUUUUCUAUGGGAUAAAUUACUUAGAAUCGGAUUUCUAGGUCAUAGGGCUUUAUGCACUUUUAAUUUUGAGAGAUCUUGCCAAAUCACACUUUAAAAAAACACCCGCUCCCUAACCAAGAGUUGCUUUCACGCUUACUCUUUGAAUUGAGUAAUUUGUAAGUUUUUCUUAUGACUUAAAAAUAACAAUGCACCACAUUAUUAAGAAAUAUACUGCUUUGAUUCUUGUACUUCAGGAACAUAGGACAUUAAUUCUAAACUGAAGUUGAUGGGUCAGGGAACUUGGUAAAAGUCUAUGAACAUUAACUCCAAGUUGUCCUGUGAAAACUUGAGAAUUUCCUAGUGGAAACAUGAAAAAGUCCUUGAUUCUGGUCGGGAGAGGGAAGAGCGGGAUGUGGGCCAUUUACUGCCAAAGGGAGAUUAAAGGUCACUGAAAUAAAUAUAACAUCACCAUUCUGCAAGCCUAAUGAAUUAAUAGAUCUCGAUAAUGAUCAUUAAUACUUGUUAGCCUUGCUAGCCAAGAGAGACAGCCAGAUAACAUGUGCCUCUUGAUGAAACUACUUAUAGAAGGAUAUCGUGAAAUAUUUAUACAUGAAACGGCAUCAUGCCCAGGAUUUGCCUCAAAACACCCUGGUGGGGAGAGAAUGCAGAAGAAAUGAGAUUGGCUAAAAGUUGUUCAUUGCUGAAGCUGGUUGAGAGGUACAUGGAGGUUCGCCGUCCUUCCCUCUGUGUGUCCUACACGUUUGAAAUGUUCCACAGUCAAAUAGUUAAAAACAGAAAGGUUUUGCAUUAAAAGGUUCUGGAAUAUCCCUCCCUAACUACUAAGAUACAUUUAAAGAGGGUGGCUCUAGGAAAAGUGUAUGCUCCCAUAUGAUGGCCACAAGCUCACUACAUGUUCAGGGGCUCGCUUCCAAGCCUGUGAUUUUAGGCAAGAGCAGGAACGGGAGCCGGAUGGUAUGGAAAACAUACAAACGAGGUGGUUCAUAAGCCAAAAGAAGACUGUAAUUUAAGGGCAGGAACCCACUGUCCUCUUUAGCUUUCAAAAUGUUUUUGAACUCAGAAAGGAGCAUGUAUAGUGCUGCAGCACAAACAUGUAAUCUUUGGCCCAGACAAAUGGAUGCUUCUGUGGACAAUGAUAAUGUAGAAUUUGUCAUCUCCUUCACAUGGCAUUUCUUGAGUUACACCAUCUCACCACAUCCUUCCUCGGGGUCCUCUUUUUCCUCUUCCACUUUAUGCAUUCUCCACCCCCCCAAACCUGUGCCAAAGGAAGGAAAACGCGCUAUUUUCUUUGCCCAGCUAUACACAUAUAUCAGAAAUUACCUUUUAAAUGCAUCAAACACUGGAUAACUUCUGACUAGUCUUGUUGUUAAUCCAAUCUUUCCUCAAAGCCCAAAUGGACUAGUUUAUCAGAAGGCUGAAAACAGUGUCUCCCUAGAAGGUUACCAGAACAGCCACAGUUUCUUGGUUUUGUUUUUGUUUUAAAACUGAAACUCAAUGUAAAAUGACUUUCGAAUGUGCGUUUAUUUUCCAUUCAGUCAUCAUAUUACUCCUUCCACUUCUCUGUUUCAUUAAUUAUAGGUAGGGGGUCUUUAAGGAGUCUUGGAAGUAGAGCCCAGAAAGUGUGAUAGAAAUUUAUGAAAACGAAUAAGAUAUUCCAAAGAUAGGGAUGGGGUCAGGGAAUGUAACCCGGAAUGGGACAUGUUGGUCUCAUCAAAGACUCUUUCCACAGAGCGACAUAAAAUCUCUUUCAUGAAUUUUAACAUAUACUUUUGCCUCUUGGUGGGUAGGGUGGAAAUGCGAUUUUAAUCUUAAUGCAACAUUUUUUACAAUGAUACUUUACUCAGUUAUCUAUAUUAUUACAUAUACCACCAGCAACCUGUUCUUCUAAAUAACAAAUCUACCCAUUUAUUCCCCUGUUCGGGAAUCGAUUACCUCGGAAAAGUUGGAAUGUACAGGAACAUAUAAGAAGCCCUCAGAAAUUCAGUAGAAAACAGUUCAGCGCAGCUUUCCUAAACUUAGCUGCCUUUUCACUUGUGAGAUUUACUAACAUCCUAAGAACACCUUUUAGACUUUGGAAUUCCAUCUCAAUCACUUUAGGAAUGCUACCAAGGAUUAAGGAAAAAUGGAUUGAAAGAGGCCGCAUAAAUGAGUAAGUUAUAUCUUGAACCCCUUUCAUGGGCCUUUUACUUUAGAGACGAAUACAUGCAUAUGGUCUCUUCCGGGAAGAUGGAAUAGUCAUGCUUUCCAUACUCUUCUCACUAAGGACAGCUUAAAACUUUGGGUAUUGUAUACAAGAUAAACACAAGAAGAUUGAAGGGCAGACUGGCUGGGGACCUGGGGACCUGGGGACCUGAAAACCACACAGUGAGUGGAAAGUUCCCUGGUUUGGGUUUGUUCUUUGUUUGUCUUUCUCAUACACACCAGCCUCGGAGCUGAAGAAUCCAGCCAUCUGGAAAGGCCAGUGGGAGCAGACUAAUAAGCUCCAAAAGGAUCCCCCGUUCUUUAACCAACGUAUGAAGACAACUUUUAGAUAAGAACCCCUCGGCUCCAACCCGGCACCACAGAAGAACUGAUGCGCUAUCCCCUUCCACACCAGCAAAGACUCACUAGGAUGCCUAGGCGUCCACCCUUAAGAAGCUGUAACAAGGCAUGCUAAGCCCUCCACAGGGUGGUGUCAGAGAAGGUUGGGGUGGGGGGAGCCAGGGGUCAGUGGAGACUCUGUGGGGC
This 5512-nucleotide long non-coding RNA is filed under the name Sus scrofa (pig). Its description in RNAcentral is "lncRNA (ENSSSCG00050019891.1)". The record is from RNAcentral. Lineage: Eukaryota; Metazoa; Chordata; Mammalia; Artiodactyla; Suidae.